This 732-nucleotide long non-coding RNA is filed under the name Vigna radiata. RNAcentral describes it as "long non-coding RNA (VRAD_LNC002626)". The record is from RNAcentral. Lineage: Eukaryota; Viridiplantae; Streptophyta; Magnoliopsida; Fabales; Fabaceae.
UGAAUGACUGAUUAGAUUUGAGUAUUGCAUUCGCUUAGUUUGCAAUUUUGAAGACUGAAUUAGCCUUCGCUUAGUUGGGUGAUUCGUGUUGGAUUUGGAUUAGAGUAGUGUGUACAUGUCGUUGAUCUGGGAUAGGAAACAUUGUAAUUAAGUUAAUGACCAACCGUCUCCAGUCUGUCUUUGAACCUGUUUUUAGAUUUGUGUUUGCAUUUCCGUUUGCGUCAGUGUUUUGAUUUUAUUCAUCCGCAUUCACAAACUUUUCAACAACCCCCCCACUUCUUGUCUGACCUAAUUUUUGAACCACAUUUUGGUCCUUGAGAGACGACCUAGGAGUCACUUCCUAGCUAUACUGCAUUUCUUAUAUGCUCAUUAAAUUUUGCAUGGGGUGCGACCUCCAUCAAAUUUUGGCGCCGUUGUCGAGGACCAACGGUUCGGUUUUAGGUCUUUGUUGUGUUAGUGUGUGUUUGGUUUUGUCUCGUGUUGUGAGUGUGUCAUUUUGUUUGUGUGGUGUCAUGUGUUGUUUCAUUUAGGUAGCUUUAGUUGCAUUCUUCUUUUCCCCCUUUCUUUCUACAUGUCCACCUAUUUUGGUUAUCUGGAUAUUACUUCUUCUGCCUAUGCCUAUGAUUAUGAUUAUACUCCUGCAUGUUACUCUGAUUAUGGUUCUCUUGCUGAUUUUUAUGCUGAGAACAAUAUGACUCAUCCUCUGACUCAUGAGAGUGCUCUUUGGGAUCC